Molecule: ribosomal RNA, 427 nt
Filed under: uncultured prokaryote
Description: partial 16S ribosomal RNA
Source: RNAcentral
CCCUAUGGGGUGCAGCAGGCUACCUGACAAAGGAAAGCGCACCUGACGAACUUGUCAUGGCGAUACGCAGGAUAUCCCAGGGAAGGAAAUAUAUCACAAACUCUCUUGCAGAAAAACUGGCCGGUGUCAUUGAAAGACCGACCGAUGUUCCUCUCCACAGCACCCUGUCGGAGAGGGAGUUCAGGGUUAUGGUGAUGAUCGCUUCGGGGCAUUCCAUCAAGAAGAUAUCAGAAGAUCUUUUUCUGAGUAUCAAGACCGUGAGCACCUAUCGGACGAGAAUCCUCAAGAAGAUGAAUUUCAAGAACAAUUCGGAGUUGAUCAGAUACAGUAUAGAAAAUGGACUGGGAAAUUGAUUAGGGAUUAGGGAUUAGCUUCCCUAUUACCCAUAACCUGCUUCACUCAAUAUACAUUUCCGGGGCGGGGGGGC